UACGUAGGGCGCAAGCGUUAUCCGGAAUUAUUGGGCGUAAAGAGCUCGUAGGCGGUUUGUCGCGUCUGCCGUGAAAGUCCGGGGCUCAACUCCGGAUCUGCGGUGGGUACGGGCAGACUUGAGGUAUUCAGGGGAGAACGGAAUUCCUGGUGUAGCGGUGGAAUGCGCAGAUAUCAGGAGGAACACCGAUGGCGAAGGCAGGUCUCUGGGCCACUACUGACGCUGAGAAGCGAAAGCAUGGGGAGCGAACAGG
Molecule: ribosomal RNA, 253 nt
Filed under: uncultured bacterium
Lineage: Bacteria
Description: partial 16S ribosomal RNA
Rfam family: Bacterial small subunit ribosomal RNA
Source: RNAcentral